Non-coding RNA from Daucus carota subsp. sativus, 80 nucleotides. The record is from Rfam. NCBI's taxonomy places the organism in Eukaryota, Viridiplantae, Streptophyta, Magnoliopsida, Apiales, Apiaceae.
CUGCAGAUGAUGAUAUAUUAUGUAUUUUGGGCUGAUUAACCAUGAAGCUCCAAAAUCGAGCUUUUUAAAACUGAUGCUUU